RNAcentral lists this ribosomal RNA (425 nucleotides) under uncultured bacterium. RNAcentral's name for it is "partial 16S ribosomal RNA". It matches the Rfam family "Bacterial small subunit ribosomal RNA", at positions 354 to 796 of the family's 1533-position model. The record is from RNAcentral.
GUGGGGAAUAUUGGGCAAUGGGCGAAAGCCUGACCCAGCAACGCCGCGUGAAGGAAGAAGGUCUUCGGAUCGUAAACUUCUAUCCUUGGUGAAGAUAAUGACGGUAGCCGAGAAGGAAGCCCCGGCUAACUACGUGCCAGCAGCCGCGGUAAUACGUAGGGGGCAAGCGUUGUCCGGAAUGAUUGGGCGUAAAGGGCGCGUAGGCGGCCUGGUAAGUAUGGAGUGAAAGUCCUGCUUUUAAGGUGGGAAUUGCUUUGGAUACUGUCGGGCUUGAGUGCAGGAGAGGUAAGUGGAAUUCCCGGUGUAGCGGUGAAAUGCGUAGAGAUCGGGAGGAACACCAGUGGCGAAGGCGACUUACUGGACUGUAACUGACGCUGAGGCGCGAAAGUGUGGGGAGCAAACAGGAUUAGAUACCCGUGUAGUCC